Molecule: ribosomal RNA, 1344 nt
Filed under: uncultured bacterium
Lineage: Bacteria
Description: 16S ribosomal RNA
Rfam family: Bacterial small subunit ribosomal RNA
Source: RNAcentral
GACGAACGUUGGCGGCGUGCUUAACACAUGCAAGUCGAACGGAAAGGCCCUGCUUUUGUGGGGUGCUCGAGUGGCGAACGGGUGAGUAACACGUGAGUAACCUGCCCUUGACUUUGGGAUAACUUCAGGAAACUGGGGCUAAUACCGGAUAGGAGCUCCUGCUGCAUGGUGGGGGUUGGAAAGUUUCGGCGGUUGGGGAUGGACUCGCGGCUUAUCAGCUUGUUGGUGGGGUAGUGGCUUACCAAGGCUUUGACGGGUAGCCGGCCUGAGAGGGUGACCGGCCACAUUGGGACUGAGAUACGGCCCAGACUCCUACGGGAGGCAGCAGUGGGGAAUAUUGCACAAUGGGCGGAAGCCUGAUGCAGCAACGCCGCGUGCGGGAUGACGGCCUUCGGGUUGUAAACCGCUUUCGCCUGUGACGAAGCGUGAGUGACGGUAAUGGGUAAAGAAGCACCGGCUAACUACGUGCCAGCAGCCGCGGUGAUACGUAGGGUGCGAGCGUUGUCCGGAUUUAUUGGGCGUAAAGGGCUCGUAGGUGGUUGAUCGCGUCGGAAGUGUAAUCUUGGGGCUUAACCCUGAGCGUGCUUUCGAUACGGGUUGACUUGAGGAAGGUAGGGGAGAAUGGAAUUCCGGGUGGAGCGGUGGAAUGCGCAGAUAUCAGGAGGAACACCAGUGGCGAAGGCGGUUCUCUGGGCCUUUCCUGACGCUGAGGAGCGAAAGCGUGGGGAGCGAACAGGCUUAGAUACCCUGGGUAGUCCACGCUGUAAACGGUGGGUACUAGGUGUGGGGUCCAUUCCACGGGUUCCGUGCCGUAGCUAACGCUUUGAGUACCCCGCCUGGGGAGUACGGCCGCAAGGCUAAAACUCAAAGGAAUUGACGGGGCCCCGCACAAGCGGCGGAGCAUGCGGAUUAAUUCGAUGCAACGCGUAGAACCUUACCUGGGUUUGACAUGGAUCGGGAGUGCUCAGAGAUGGGUGUGCCUCUUUUGGGGUCGGUUCACAGGUGGUGCAUGGCUGUCGUCAGCUCGUGUCGUGAGAUGUUGGGUUAAGUCCCGCAACGAGCGCAACCCUUGUUCACUGUUGCCAGCACGUUAUGGUGGGGACUCAGUGGAGACCGCCGGGGUCAACUCGGAGGAAGGUGGGGAUGACGUCAAGUCAUCAUGCCCCUUAUGUCCAGGGCUUCACGCAUGCUACAAUGGCUGGUACAGAGAGUGGCGAGCCUGUGAGGGUGAGCGAAUCUCGGAAAGCCGGUCUCAGUUCGGAUUGGGGUCUGCAACUCGACCUCAUGAAGUCGGAGUCGCUAGUAAUCGCAGAUCAGCAACGCUGCGGUGAAUACGUUCCCGGG